RNAcentral lists this ribosomal RNA (495 nucleotides) under uncultured bacterium. Its description in RNAcentral is "partial 16S ribosomal RNA". It matches the Rfam family "Bacterial small subunit ribosomal RNA", at positions 29 to 506 of the family's 1533-position model. The record is from RNAcentral.
AUGAACGCUGGCGGCGUGCCUCAUACAUGCAAGUCGAGCGAACAGACGAGGAGCUUGCUCCUCUGACGUUAGCGGCGGACGGGUGAGUAACCCGUGGAUAACCUACCUAUAAGACUGGGAUAACUUCGGGAAACCGGAGCUAAUACCAGAUAAUAUAUUGAACCGCCUGGUUCAAUAGUGAAAGACGGUUUUGCUGUCACUUAUAGAUGGAUCCGCGCCGCAUUAGCUAGUUGGUAAGGUAACGGCUUACCAAGGCGACGAUGCGUAGCCGACCUGAGAGGGGGAUCGGCCACACUGGAACUGAGACACGGUCCAGACUCCUACGGGAGGCAGCAGUAGGGAAUCUUCCGCAAUGGGCGAAAGCCUGACGGAGCAACGCCGCGGGAGUGAUGAAGGUCUUCGGAUCGUAAAACUCUGUUAUUAGGGAAGAACAAAUGUGUAAGUAACUAUGCACGUCUUGACGGUACCUAAUCAGAAAGCCACGGCUAACUACGU